GCUUUCUCACCGCACCAGGAGAGAGAAGGUGACGUGGCAUUGUGCUGCAAGUCAGCUGAAUUGACACUGCUGCUGCUCCUGGGGAGGGCUGAUUUUUCCAGAAGGAUCUGGGCAACUCGUGGUUUUGCCCACUGUGUUAUACUGCUUUCCUACAAGCCUGCGUUCAGCAGCCGUAGCAACAGAGGGUGGCAAAGAGAGCGGUGCUUGGAAAAGGAGACAUCGAGUAGUCCAUGCAUCGCUGAGGACGAGCUCCUGUGGAGUCACCGAGCUUAUCCUCCGCUAGCUUUGGCUGACUCAGUGCAGCCUGCAUCACAGGGUCUGGCCUCCAGCUCUGAUCCUUCACACCAAAAUAGGGUAAGUUUAAAGCCAGCGGCCCCGCUAUUCACAUUUCCAUUUCUUUAUCAAACAUGCAGGUGCAAUACAAGGUGCAAGGAGAGAUUCACUUCUGGUCUGAUUUUCUACAACAAUGUAGCUCCUAAAAAUAACUCAAUAAAUACAAAAAUAACACUGACGGGUGGCUGAAAUAGAUGCAAAAUGCUACAGUAAACAAAGCCUGAGGACUUCACUUCUUCCAGCCCAGGCAG
This 584-nucleotide long non-coding RNA is filed under the name Anser brachyrhynchus (Pink-footed goose). RNAcentral's name for it is "lncRNA (ENSABRG00000007456.1)". The record is from RNAcentral. Lineage: Eukaryota; Metazoa; Chordata; Aves; Anseriformes; Anatidae.